UGGGGAAUAUUGGGCAAUGGAGGAAACUCUGACCCAGCAACGCCGCGUGAACGAUGAAGGUCUUCGGAUUGUAAAGUUCUUUUCUAAGGGAAGAAGAAAGUGACGGUACCUUAGGAAUAAGCCUCGGCUAACUACGUGCCAGCAGCCGCGGUAAUACGUAGGAGGCAAGCGUUAUCCGGAAUGACUGGGCGUAAAGGGUGCGUAGGUGGUUUGGCAAGUUAGUAGCGUAAGCCCGGGGCUUAACCUCGGGACUACUACUAAAACUGUUGGACUUGAGUGCAGGAGGGGCAACUGGAAUUCCUAGUGUAGCGGUGGAAUGCGUAGAUAUUAGGAGGAACACCAGUGGCGAAGGCGAGUUGCUGGACUGUAACUGACACUGAGGCACGAAAGCGUGGGGAGC
RNAcentral lists this ribosomal RNA (400 nucleotides) under uncultured bacterium. RNAcentral describes it as "bacterial SSU rRNA". It matches the Rfam family "Bacterial small subunit ribosomal RNA", at positions 355 to 769 of the family's 1533-position model. The record is from RNAcentral.